Molecule: ribosomal RNA, 360 nt
Filed under: uncultured bacterium
Lineage: Bacteria
Description: partial 16S ribosomal RNA
Rfam family: Bacterial small subunit ribosomal RNA
Source: RNAcentral
CCUACGGGAGGCAGCAGUGAGGAAUAUUGGUCAAUGGGCGCGAGUCUGAACCAGCCAAGUAGCGUGAAGGAUGACUGCCCUACGGGUUGUAAACUUCUUUUAUAAAGGAAUAAAGUGAGGCACGUGUGCCUUUUUGUAUGUACUUUAUGAAUAAGGAUCGGCUAACUCCGUGCCAGCAGCCGCGGUAAUACGGAGGAUCCGAGCGUUAUCCGGAUUUAUUGGGUUUAAAGGGAGCGUAGAUGGGUUGUUAAGUCAGUUGUGAAAGUUUGCGGCUCAACCGUAAAAUUGCAAGUGAUACUGGCAGUCUUGAGUACAGUUGGGGUGGGCGGAAUGCGUGGUGUAGCGGGGAAAUGCUUAGAU